Spinacia oleracea (spinach) is the source of this 4056-nucleotide RNA transcript. RefSeq lists it as uncharacterized. The record is from RefSeq and is a predicted model, not a curated record. NCBI's taxonomy places the organism in Eukaryota, Viridiplantae, Streptophyta, Magnoliopsida, Caryophyllales, Amaranthaceae. The transcript has 10 exons.
GCAAAAGUGGACCUACAAGAAUUAAAAAAUUUUUAAAAAAAAUACCACAUUCUAGAUCUUGCAUUUGGCUCAAGUCAAAUUUUUUCCAGAUCUUACAUUCGGCCAUUGGUAUAAGGGAAACAAGAAUUCCACAUUAAAAAAAAAAGAGUAGCCCCCCUAGCAAUGGUAAUCAAGUCUUUCUCAAGUACAAAUUUUCCCAUUUUGAUUGAAAGCUUCCAAUUAUAGAUGGUGUUUAAUUUGAUUCAAUUUGGAGGAGAGGGAAUUGGGUGGAAGAGAGGUAUUUGGUGGAGUUCUAUUUAGUAGAUCUGAAGGAACGAUGAAGGAGCGGGAGAUCGACAUUAGGCAUGGAGAAGGCUACAAAACCUCGGGGUGGAGCAUGAUCAAUUCUAUCAGCCCAUUUUUUAUCUUGAGAGAUUGUUUCCCAAACACAACAAGGAAAGUGAUUGAGAGAACAUUGAAGAAAGAAUUGGCUGUUGUUGGCACAAAUGUAGCUCGUGCAAUAAGUCCUGCUAUUGAGAAAACUAUUUCUUCGACUACUACGGAUUCCUUCCAGUUAUAGGAGGAGAUUUCUAAUCUAGAGUCUUGAUUCGCAAAGUGGGCCCCAUACUUAGAUAUUCGAGACUUUACAUAACAGGUUUGUAGAGAUAACUUGCUGGAGAAGUUAUCUAUAAUGGGGAUGUUGAAUGAGCGUUGUUUUUCUCCUGCAUCGUUAAACUAUAUUAUUUUAUUAGUCUAGACUACUUAAACUAUUUAAACUUCUAGUUAAUGGGUUUUGGUUACUUAAACGUUUUGGUUUUGGGCCGUUAUGGUUCCAACUUGUAUGGAGCCAUUAACUACUAUUUAAUGUUUUGAAAGUUAGUUAUUUCCGCUGCGUAAUUUUGGUAAUAGCCUUAACCGUUAUCACGGUGGUGGUAAUACUUAAGUAAUUCCUUUAUUUUAAGUUCGAAAAUGGUUUUAUAAAGGUAAGGAAUUAUUAGGGUGUUACAAGAAUGAACGUGUUGGCAAAGUUAGCCGCCAGUAUAGAGCAGAGCAAAGGUUUUGCAUCUUUUGAAUCAGACAUGGGAAAGUGCAUCCAGACUUGAUUUCUUAACAAGGAAAUGACUGAACUAACUAAGAUGAUGACAUAUCCAACUUUUUUGAGAAUAUUUUUAAAACAGAAGGAAGAAGGUAGGGUCCUUAUUUAAAAGCAUAUUGAGAAUAUUCUUUUUCAAGGAUGUCAUUUGACAAUGCGGUCAUAUGGUUCAAUAUAUGUCUAAGGUCAAAUCGUCUCUUUUUUUUAAUGUGGAAGCUUCACUUAGGUUGCUAACUGUAGUACUUGCAGAUUACUUAUAACAAAUACUAGUUACCCGAUUCAGGAUGAAUUUUAGAUGCUCAAAGUUCAAGAAGGGGAAAGACAUUCUUGCAUGAAGAGAUGGAAACAAGUUAUUUCGGGAAGUGAAUGCUUCCUUUGGAAGUUAUGCCUAAAGAGGAAAGUUGCUUUUAUUUUAUUGGCAAAGUAAUUAGGUUUAUAAUACGGUCGCGUGCACGAUUCCCUAUCUUCAAAACUCCAUAUCUCAUUCGUCAUUUUGGGAAUUAGGCGAGUGACCAUUAGUUGGAAAGAUCUUGAAGUCUAGAAUCCAACACAAUUAGAAUCAUUGCAUUUGUAUUUGUGGAACUUGAGUUAUAAUUAAAGUUGUGGACUACAAUCAUUUUCUACUUCUUUCGUUAUUCGCUUUGUUUCAAAACUCUUUCAACUCAAUGUUCGUGUUCUCAAAAGUACAUCACCUCUUGUAGUGGUUCAAAUGAGUAGGAAAUGCAUUCAAAUAUGUCAAUUCCUACAAUGAUAAACCUGAAAUUACAAAUACACUACAAAGAGCACAUCUAUACCUAGUAUUUAAAAAACAUAACCAUCAUCAUUUCAAUGACACAUAAGCAACUCCAUCUUGAAGACACAUGUCAAAACAUUAUUAAUCUUACUAUUUACUUUUUGUGAUAAAAAAAUAAUGAACAUUCAUUAUUCCACUUUAUUGCCAUUAGUUUUCACGUAGUAUACUACUAAUCCCUAAUUUAUUAGAAUUGAACUCCCUCCGUCCAUGUUUAUAGCCCCGUUGACAAAAAAAACACGGGUUUUAAGAAAAAUGGAAUGUAGUACACGGAAAAUUGGAAUAUAGUGCAUUGAUAAUUGAUUUGUAUGAGAAAGUGGAAUAUAGUACAUGAAGAAUUAAAAUAUAGUACAUGAGGAAGUUUUGUUGAUUUUUCAAUACAUUUUAAAUUAUCAUAGUACAUAGGAAAAUGGAAAACUUAAUGGCCAAAAAUGUAAACAUGACUAUAAUUUUGGGACGCUCAAAAUAGAAAUAGUAUUAUAAAAAUGGAAUGGAGGGAGUAUCAAAAAUUAGGAUCAAUACUAAACUUUAUUAUGCCUAAACAACUGAUCCCUACUUCAUCUUCCCCAUUCUUCAACUUCCCAUUAACUCUUCAACCUUAAUUAUUUUCACUGUCAAUUUAAUUCAAUCCCCAAAUCUUCUACCCUUCCCCUGUAGCAUCCAUUCAAAAUUUAACCUCCCACUUAAUAGACUUUUUGACUGGUCCGUUUUAAAACGGUAGGAGAUUAUAGGGUGUUUUAAUUCAACAUUUCGAUUGUUUAUUUUCAUCCCCCUCUCUCUCUUUCUCUAAGCACAUUGUUCUUGAUUUUUCUUAAUUUUGGGACGCUCAAAAUAAAAGCACAGGACUAUAGAAAUGAGACGGCGGGAGUACCAAGAAUUAGAAUCGAUACUCAACUUGAUUAUGCCUAAACAACCGUCCCGUAAUUCGUCUUCCCCGUUCUUCAUCUUCCCAUUAACUCUCCAACCUUAAUUAUUUUCAAUGUCAAUUUAAUUCAAUUCCCAAUUCUUCUCUUCUUCUUCUGUAGCGUUCAUUCAAAAUUUAACCUCCCACUAAUAGAAUUUUUUACUAAUUCUUUUUGAAACGGUAGGAAGUUAUAUGGUGUUUUAAUUCAACAUUUCAAUUGUUUAUUUUCAUGCAUGCAAUUCAAGUUGUAGUACCACCUCCACCCCUCUAUCUCUCUAAGCACGUUGUUCUUGAUUUUUCUUAAGCAUAUUGGAAAUAUGUUGUUUAUUCACUAGAGGAAAAAUCGUCAUGUGCUUCCCUUCAAGUGCAGCUCAUUUAUUAAAAUGGCAGCACUUGAGAGCACUAAAAAAAAAGUAAAAAAUAUAUUUUUACAAGUACGGGUCAUUUUAAAAAAUUGGCAGCACUUGACUUCAAGUGCGGGCUUUAAACUCAAAUGCGGGUCAUUUAAAAAUGAGCAGCACAAAAUUUUUCUAAAAAUAGAGCCCACGGUAGAUUUUCCCCAAAAAUAAAGUGGUACUUUUUUUUCAUUUUCCCGCUCCUCUUCCUUCCCCUUCUCUGCUUUUACUUCUGCCAUCGCUAUCUUCUUCCACCGCCGUCGCCGCUGCUUCCACCGCCGCCUCUGCUUCUAAAGAAUGUAGUGUCGAGGUUAGUCCAUCUUGAGUCGCCGCCAUCCACCCACACAACCAGCUGCUUCGAGUUUCCCUAAUUUGAAGAAAUCGUUCAACGAUUCUCCUUAAUUCAAGUUUCCCAGGUAUUGGAUGCUCUUGAAAAUCUUCAUGCUGCUGAUGUUGACCAAAAGCUUCAUGAUGCUGCUGAUGGGAUGGGAUGCUUCAUGAUACAAAAAUCAAUUUGCUGGAAAAGAGGUGCGUUUUCUCAGUCAUGACUUGCAUCGGUUUUGGAAUUGGGCUAACAAAACAGAUGGCAUUGAGACUAAUGAGUGUCUCGAAAACAAUGGUGGAUGCCGGCAGGGCACACAAGCCAACAUCACAGCCUACAAGGUAUUCAAUAUUCCGAGGGAGCGGCCUUUCACCUUUGAGGAGAUAGAUGAAGUUCGAGAAAUGUUGGCAAACUUCAUUACCAGUGAUUGUCUUUGAUAUUUUCUUGUGCUGAAUCUUAAAUUAUGGAUGCUAGCUAGUUUUUCAUAUCAUUGUAAUGUAAUCGACUUUUAUAUUUAAAAUUAUAUAUUGUUUAAUUUAAUUAUCUAUAUAAUUAGAUACUUUUUAUAUGACA